GCCUUCGUGGUGUAAUGGUUAGCACACUCGGCGCGUAUUCGAGAGGCCCAGGUUCGAGUCGUGGGUAGGGCA
This 72-nucleotide transfer RNA is filed under the name Stegodyphus mimosarum. It matches the Rfam family "tRNA". Rfam says of the family: Transfer RNA (tRNA) molecules are approximately 80 nucleotides in length. Their secondary structure includes four short double-helical elements and three loops (D, anti-codon, and T loops). Further hydrogen bonds mediate the characteristic L-shaped molecular structure. tRNAs have two regions of fundamental functional importance: the anti-codon, which is responsible for specific mRNA codon recognition, and the 3' end, to which the tRNAs corresponding amino acid is attached (by aminoacyl-tRNA synthetases). tRNAs cope with the degeneracy of the genetic code in two manners: having more than one tRNA (with a specific anti-codon) for a particular amino acid; and 'wobble' base-pairing, i.e. permitting non-standard base-pairing at the 3rd anti-codon position. Lineage: Eukaryota; Metazoa; Arthropoda; Arachnida; Araneae; Eresidae. The record is from Rfam by way of RNAcentral.